UAUCAUGUUGAUUCUCAAAUUCA
Molecule: microRNA, 23 nt
Filed under: Pristionchus pacificus
Lineage: Eukaryota; Metazoa; Nematoda; Chromadorea; Rhabditida; Neodiplogasteridae
Description: ppc-miR-8356a-3p
Source: miRBase by way of RNAcentral